This 527-nucleotide ribosomal RNA is filed under the name uncultured Oxalobacteraceae bacterium. RNAcentral describes it as "bacterial SSU rRNA". It matches the Rfam family "Bacterial small subunit ribosomal RNA", at positions 1 to 522 of the family's 1533-position model. Lineage: Bacteria; Pseudomonadati; Pseudomonadota; Betaproteobacteria; Burkholderiales; Oxalobacteraceae. The record is from RNAcentral.
AGUAUACAUAAGAGUUUGAUCAUGGCUCAGAUUGAACGCUGGCGGCAUGCCUUACACAUGCAAGUCGAACGGCAGCGCGGGGCAACCUGGCGGCGAGUGGCGAACGGGUGAGUAAUAUAUCGGAACGUACCCUGGAGUGGGGGAUAACGUAGCGAAAGUUACGCUAAUACCGCAUACGAUCUAAGGAUGAAAGUGGGGGACCGCAAGGCCUCACGCUCGUGGAGCGGCCGAUAUCUGAUUAGCUAGUUGGUGGGGUAAAGGCCUACCAAGGCAUCGAUCAGUAGCUGGUCUGAGAGGACGACCAGCCACACUGGAACUGAGACACGGUCCAGACUCCUACGGGAGGCAGCAGUGGGGAAUUUUGGACAAUGGGCGCAAGCCUGAUCCAGCAAUGCCGCGUGAGUGAAGAAGGCCUUCGGGUUGUAAAGCUCUUUUGUCAGGGAAGAAACGGUGGCUCCUAAUACGAGUUGCUAAUGACGGUACCUGAAGAAUAAGCACCGGCUAACUACGUGCCAGCAGCCGCGGUA